Molecule: small nuclear RNA, 164 nt
Filed under: Cebus imitator (Panamanian white-faced capuchin)
Lineage: Eukaryota; Metazoa; Chordata; Mammalia; Primates; Cebidae
Description: U1 spliceosomal RNA (ENSCCAG00000018196.1)
Rfam family: U1 spliceosomal RNA
About the family: U1 is a small nuclear RNA (snRNA) component of the spliceosome (involved in pre-mRNA splicing).
Source: Rfam by way of RNAcentral
AUACUGACCUGGCAGGGGAGAUACCAUGAUCACGAAGGUGGUUUUCCCAGGACGAGGCUUAUCCAUUGCACUCUGGAUGUGUUGACCCCUGCAAUUUCCCCAAAUAUGGGAAACUCGACUGCAUAAUUUGUGGCAGUGGGGGACUGCGUUCACGCUUUCCCCUG